UGCAAAAGUUGACAUGGUGUGAUAUUGAUACGGCUCAUCUUCAAUUUCAACCAUAUUCAUAUUUCCAUUCUUCAAUUUCAACUAUAUUUAUAUUCAUAUUUACAUUUAGAUGAGCCGAAUCAAUAUCACUCUUGCUUACUUCGUU
This 145-nucleotide microRNA precursor is filed under the name Cicer arietinum (chickpea). Lineage: Eukaryota; Viridiplantae; Streptophyta; Magnoliopsida; Fabales; Fabaceae. The record is from RNAcentral.